AGGAGAUGUUACCAAGCAAGAGAGCAGAAGAGAAGCCAAGACUGUAUCCCGGCGCAGCAUGGCCCGUCCAAACACCAAGCGAUUUUACAGUUUGGGAUCAUGAAAGGGUACAACCAUUACAAUCUUGACCUGCAAGACCUGUCACCAAAGGGUAGGUCAGUAAAUAAAUUCACGUUCAUUCUAGGUAAUAGUCUUCGCAUUUAUUUCCACACCUUUUGCGAGCACAUUAAGCCAAAUCACUUAUAAAUCCUCCUUUAAUCUCUGGAAGCACAAAAACGGUCGCCAACUAAGAAGUCAUCCUAAGAUCACUUCCUAACUUCCUAAAAUGUAAUAACAUUUACAUUUCGCGUUAAAUAAUUUAUUAUAUUUUGCGUUGAAAAGUUAUUACAUUUCGCGUUAAACAUUUAUUACAUUUUGCGUCAAGUUACUAAAUUUCGCAUUAAGAAUACAUUUUGCGUUGAAAGGUAUUACAUUUCGCGUUAAGAUUAGAUUUUGCGUUGAAAGGUAUUACAUUUCGCGUUAAGAUUGCAUUUUGCGUUAGUUAUUACAUUUUGCGUUGAAAACGAUUACACAUGGUCUGGAUGGGGGGUGGGGGGUCUGCAUGUCGGUAGUCAGUUAAAAUUUUCAUAAUUUGUCGGUAGUCGGUGAAUCUAAGCUAGUAUUCGCUUUUGUACUAGAUUUCACGUAUAAACAUGAUUAAACAUUAUUUAGGAUUGAUUAGCGAAUAACUUAUUGAUAAUAAAUUAAUUAUUGGUUAAUUAUUGACUGAAAGGUUGAUGCAACAGGAAAUACAUAGUACAUAUUCUGAAAUGGCCGAAUUUAAGUAGAUUGACGAUGGAAGUAAAGAAUAAAAAUACCGGUUAAAA
Molecule: long non-coding RNA, 866 nt
Organism: Nematostella vectensis (starlet sea anemone)
Lineage: Eukaryota; Metazoa; Cnidaria; Anthozoa; Actiniaria; Edwardsiidae
Exons: 2
Source: RefSeq, a predicted model, not a curated record